This 425-nucleotide ribosomal RNA is filed under the name uncultured bacterium. Its description in RNAcentral is "partial 16S ribosomal RNA". It matches the Rfam family "Bacterial small subunit ribosomal RNA", at positions 354 to 796 of the family's 1533-position model. The record is from RNAcentral.
GUGGGGAAUCUUGCGCAAUGGGCGAAAGCCUGAUCCAGCCAUGCCGCGUGAACGAUGAAGGCCUUCGGGUUGUAAAGUUCUUUAGCCGAUGAUUAUAAUGACUGUAGUCGGAAAAUAAGCCCCGGCUAACUUCGUGCCAGCAGCCGCGGUAAUACGAAGGGGGCGAGCGUUAUUCGGAAUCACUGGGCGUAAAGCGUGCGUAGGCGGUUUUGUAAGUUAGGAGUGAAAGCCCAGGGCUCAACCUUGGAAUUGCUCUUAAAACUGCAAGGCUCGAAUAUCGGAGAGGAUAGCGGAAUUUCCAGUGUAGCAGUGAAAUGCGUAGAUAUUGGAAGGAACACCAGUGGCGUAAGCGGCUAUCUGGACGAGUAUUGACGCUGAGGCACGAAAGCGUGGGGAUCAAACAGGAUUAGAUACCCGAGUAGUCC